This 288-nucleotide unclassified non-coding RNA is filed under the name fungal sp. Its description in RNAcentral is "partial internal transcribed spacer region". The stretch from base 1 to 46 matches the Rfam family "Eukaryotic small subunit ribosomal RNA", at positions 1786 to 1831 of the family's 1831-position model. Lineage: Eukaryota; Fungi. The record is from RNAcentral.
AAGUCGUAACAAGGUUUCCGUAGGUGAACCUGCGGAAGGAUCAUUAUAAAUGGAAAAAAUUGCUGAGCCUUUUCUUCCCUGUCACCUAUUUUGGGCGGAUGGGGGUGGUGGGGCUCAGUAAUUUCUUUCUUGUGAACUGGAAGUUUCCAUGUCCUCGCUUUUCGGAGAGGGGGCAUGGGCUUUGCUUUUUUUGUUUUUGACAUUUGUAUUUUUAUUUUAUUUUAUUUUGAGAUUGAAAUAUAUCUCAAGAAACCAAGACAACUUUCAGCAAUGGAUCUCUUGGCUCUU